This 577-nucleotide long non-coding RNA is filed under the name Homo sapiens (human). RNAcentral's name for it is "non-protein coding lnc-NAA35-6:9". Lineage: Eukaryota; Metazoa; Chordata; Mammalia; Primates; Hominidae. The record is from RNAcentral.
CUUACAUAAGAUGGAAGUCUCUCACACUAGAUACUGAACAUUAAAUAGAAAAUCUAUUUAGUAAAAUCUAAGUUGCCAAGGAAGAAAUACCAGUAAAAGUUGCUGUAAGAAUUAGACCUCUGCUUUGCAAAGAAGUUCUUCAUAAUCACCAAGUUUGUGUGAGAGUUAUUCCAAACAGCCAGCAAGUUAUCAUUGGGAGAGAUAGAGUCUUCACUUUUGAUUUUGUUUUUGGCAAAAAUUCCACUCAAGAUGAAGUUUAUAACACAUGUAUAAAGCCCCUAGUGUUGUCACUCAUUGAGGGCUGUAAUGCAACUGUUUUUGCCUAUGGACAAACUGGAUCUGGGAAGACAUACACCAUUGGAGGGGGCCAUAUUGCUUCAGUUGUGGAGGGCCAAAAGGGUAUCAUUCUUCGAGCUAUUCAAGAAAUAUUUCAAAGCAUCUCUGAACAUCCUAGCAUUGACUUUAAUGUGAAAGUAUCUUAUAUAGAAGUGUACAAGGAAGACCUAAGAGAUCUUCUAGAAUUGGAGACAUCCAUGAAAGAUCUUCACAUCCGAAAAGAUGAAAAAGGAAACACAGG